GAUGAACGCUAGCGGCAGGCUUAAUACAUGCAAGUCGAGGGGCAGCACGGGUAGCGAUACCUGGUGGCGACCGGCAAACGGGUGCGGAACACGUACGCAACUUUCCCAAAACUGGUGAAUAGCCCUCCGAAAGGAGGAUUAAUACACCGUAACAUAAUGAAGUGGCAUCACUUUAUUAUUAUAGCUCCGGCGGUUUUGGAUGGGCGUGCGCCUGAUUAGGUAGUUGGCGGGGUAACGGCCCACCAAGCCUUCGAUCAGUAACUGGUGUGAGAGCACGACCAGUCACACGGGCACUGAGACACGGGCCCGACUCCUACGGGAGGCAGCAGUAAGGAAUAUUGGUCAAUGGACGCAAGUCUGAACCAGCCAUGCCGCGUGAAGGAUGAAGGUCCUCUGGAUUGUAAACUUCUUUUAUCUGGGACGAAAAAGGAAUUCUUUCUCACUUGACGGUACCAGAGGAAUAAGCACCGGCUAACUCCGUGCCAGCAGCCGCGGUAAU
Molecule: ribosomal RNA, 499 nt
Filed under: uncultured bacterium
Lineage: Bacteria
Description: bacterial SSU rRNA
Rfam family: Bacterial small subunit ribosomal RNA
Source: RNAcentral